ACCAGGGAAAACAGGGGUCGUAUGUAUAUGCUAUCCUUUUAACUUCAAUUAUGUAUCAAAAACUAAUUUUUUUUCAGAUUUUUCUUUACAUUAGUUUGUAAAUACUACUCAUAAUAAAUGUUCUUCUCUUUAUUUUUGUAGGCAGUGAAUUAUCACAGUGCUGGUACUGUUGAGUUUAUAAAUGAUACUCUGUGUGGAGAAUUUUAUUUUAUGGAGAUGAAUAACUUUCUCCAGGUUGAGCAUCCAGUUACUGAGAUGAUUGUUGGUCAAGAUCUUGUAGAGUGUCAAAUAUUGUUGCGAGAUUGCGUGCAGGAUUAUGCGAACAGCGAAGCGGCUGUGGAUUUGAACCGUCGCCGUGUACAGCGACUCUGACGAGCGGAGCUUGCAUAUCAAAUCGGCUCAGCUACUUCCAGAACUGGCGAUCAGGCUAUCCACCCUGGUUAUGGUUUCUUAUCAGAAAGCUCUGAGUUUGCUCAACUUUGUCGGGCAUUACAUUUGUUGGACCUCCUCCAUCUGCAAUUUGUGACAAUGACAUGGUUGAUGAAAGGUUGAGCAUCCAGUUACUGAGAUGAUUGUUGGUCAAGAUCUCGUGGAGUGGAAAAUACGUGUUGCUAAUGGAGAGCCUCUUCCAGCUAGUCAAUCAGAGGUGCCCUUGUUGGGUAUGAUCUCUUCUAUGUGGUAGCUUCAACUUCGCCGUGUUUCCAUGGUGUGUAUUCUUUGGAGUUGAUUUUGAGCUUUUAUCUGGAGCUUCAGCUGUGAUCAAAUCUCAGAUUGUAUCGAGUUUAUAGAUUUUAGGGAUUUUAUUUCCAAACUCAUUCAAAUUCGGAUAAGUAUGCAUAAUUGUUGAACAUUACCAAUCGCAUAAGCCAACUCCUUACGACCACAAUGCUGUCCUCCAAUCAGCACAACUUACAAGUAGGUGAGCCAAUUUGACAUGCAAGCUCCGCUCAUCGGCGUCGCGCAAUUUCACCGCUUUUAAGAGCUUCUCGAUUCUUCCACUUGCUCGGC
Long non-coding RNA from Salvia splendens (bonfire salvia), 1008 nucleotides. RefSeq lists it as uncharacterized. Lineage: Eukaryota; Viridiplantae; Streptophyta; Magnoliopsida; Lamiales; Lamiaceae. The record is from RefSeq and is a predicted model, not a curated record. The transcript is spliced from 4 exons.